GGGUUGUAAAGCCCUUUCGGUGGGGAAGAAAUCGGCCGGGCGAAUAGUCCGGUCGGAUGACGGUACCCGCAGAAGAAGCACCGGCUAACUACGUGCCAGCAGCCGCGGUAAUACGUAGGGUGCGAGCGUUAAUCGGAAUUACUGGGCGUAAAGGGUGCGCAGGCGGCCCUGUAAGACCGGUGUGAAAUCCCCGGGCUCAACCUGGGAAUUGCGCUGGUGACUGCAGGGCUAGAGUACGGUAGAGGGGGGUGAAUUCCUGGUGUAGCAGUGAAAUGCGUAGAGAUCAGGAGGAACACCGAUGGCGAAGGCAGCCCCCUGGGCCUGUACUGACGCUCAUGCACGAAAGCGUGGGGAGCAAACAGGAUUAGAUACCCUGGUAGUCCACGCCCUAAACGAUGAGAACUAGCCGUCUGGAGUCUUCGUGCUCUGGGUGGCGCAGCUAACGCGUGAAGUUCUCCGCCUGGGGAGUACGGCCGCAAGGUUAAAACUCAAAGGAAUUGACGGGGACCCGCACAAGCGGUGGAUGAUGUGGAUUAAUU
This 539-nucleotide ribosomal RNA is filed under the name Tepidiphilus sp. enrichment culture clone SEQ60_12GClone_AER. RNAcentral describes it as "bacterial SSU rRNA". It matches the Rfam family "Bacterial small subunit ribosomal RNA", at positions 420 to 951 of the family's 1533-position model. Lineage: Bacteria; Pseudomonadati; Pseudomonadota; Hydrogenophilia; Hydrogenophilales; Hydrogenophilaceae. The record is from RNAcentral.